ACUCCUACGGGAGGCAGCAGUGGGGAAUAUUGCACAAUGGGCGCAAGCCUGAUGCAGCCAUGCCGCGUGUAUGAAGAAGGCCUUCGGGUUGUAAAGUACUUUCAGCAGUGAGGAAGGUGGAGUCGUUAAUAGCGGCCUCAUUUGACGUUAGCUGCAGAAGAAGCACCGGCUAACUCCGUGCCAGCAGCCGCGGUAAUACGGAGGGUGCGAGCGUUAAUCGGAAUUACUGGGCGUAAAGCGCAUGCAGGUGGUUUGUUAAGUCAGAUGUGAAAGCCCGGGGCUCAACCUCGGAAUUGCAUUUGAAACUGGCAGACUAGAGUACUGUAGAGGGGGGUAGAAUUUCAGGUGUAGCGGUGAAAUGCGUAGAGAUCUGAAGGAAUACCGGUGGCGAAGGCGGCCCCCUGGACAGAUACUGACACUCAGAUGCGAAAGCGUGGGGAGCAAACAGGAUUAGAUACCCUGGUAGGAUAGC
Molecule: ribosomal RNA, 472 nt
Filed under: uncultured bacterium
Lineage: Bacteria
Description: bacterial SSU rRNA
Rfam family: Bacterial small subunit ribosomal RNA
Source: RNAcentral